AGCAGCCGCGGUAAUUCCAGCUCCAAUAGCGUAUAUUAAAGUUGUUGCAGUUAAAAAGCUCGUAGUUGAAUUUCGGGAUCAGUUGAUCGGUCGUGCCUCGGUACGUACUGGUCAAAUUGAUUCCUACCUUCUGACGAACCACGACGUCAUUAAUUUGGUGUCGUGGGAAAUCAGGACUGUUACUUUGAAAAAAUUAGAGUGUUUAAAGCAGGCUCGCGCUUGAAUACAUUAGCAUGGAAUAAUGAAAUAGGACGUUUGAUUCUAUUUUGUUGGUUUCUAGGAUCGACGUAAUGAUUAAUAGGGAUAGUUGGGGGCAUUAGUAUUCAAUUGUCAGAGGUGAAAUUCUUGGAUUUAUUGAAGACUAACUACUGCGAAAGCAUUUGCCAAGGAUGUUUUCAUUAAUCAAGAACGAAAGUUAGGGGAUCGAAGACGAUCAGAUACCGUCGUAGUCUUAACCAUAAACUAUGCCGACUAGGGAUC
Molecule: ribosomal RNA, 480 nt
Filed under: uncultured Glomus
Lineage: Eukaryota; Fungi; Glomeromycota; Glomeromycetes; Glomerales; Glomeraceae
Description: SSU rRNA
Rfam family: Eukaryotic small subunit ribosomal RNA
Source: RNAcentral